Molecule: long non-coding RNA, 2019 nt
Organism: Callithrix jacchus (white-tufted-ear marmoset)
Lineage: Eukaryota; Metazoa; Chordata; Mammalia; Primates; Cebidae
Source: Ensembl
AUAGAAACAAUGGAAUGAAGCCAAUUCACCAAUCAUCAAAAGAAAGUCACUGAAAGCCAAUUUGUUGACCUAUGUACCGUUGGUGGCAGAGGAAAAGGGGUCAAGGGAGGAAAUCUGAAAAGUGCUGGGGAGUGAUUAGAGAGUUAAGAGGAAGCUUCCCUCAAAGACAUGGAGUUCUGUUCCUAAAGCUGUACUUCCAGUAUUCUGAAACCAGUGUGUCUAGUGUGCUCCACUGUGGAUACCAUGAUGCAGUGGUGGAAAGAAUAAGAGGUGAGUCAUAAAAUCAGGUAACAGAUAAAAUGGCAGAUCAGGUACUGACUGUGUUCCAGAAAUGCUGCGCGUGGCAUAUUAUUGAGAAGCAUAAGAGCUAGUUUGGUGAUACUGAAGUUUCAAUUCUGUAUUUUUUGAGUGGUCACUAUUUGUAUUUUUCAUUUGUCAGCUAACUUUCCUUUCAAAAUAGUUUUUUUUUGGGGGGGGGAAGGGAAAAUAAUUAAAUGAACAGAUAUUUGAUAUAAAUAUAUUUUUAACCCCUUUAUUAUAGUUUUCUGUUCUCUUUGCAUUUUCCCAUUUGUUUUUUCUUCUCUUCCUUUUCUUUAGAGACCCUUUUUCUUUUAAAAAAUCUGCCCAAAAUUUCUCUCUAAAUUUUCUAUUUUCUCAGUUUACCUCUUCUAAUUAAUCAGACUCUACUUUUUCUUCAAGUUGAUCAGUGCUUUCUGCUCUUCUAGGUAGGAUGAGGCCUUCAGAAAUUAUACGGCAACUUUUAAUUCUCACAUAUGAUGCCCUAGGUUCAACUCUUCAUGUAACAAAACAUCUUAUUUUAGACAAUAUUUAUUUUAAAAGAUAUUACAACAUAUUCUCAAACAAACAUUGAUGAGCUUAGUUGUCUCAGCAUUACUCUGGCUAUUUUAAAAUACAUUAUUUUGUUAACCACGCCUUUUCACCUUUUAUAAAGCUGAAAAAUAGGAAGUGCUUCUUCUUUUCAUUUUUUGUCUUGGUAGUUUCUAACCACAUUUUUGCACUGUGGUUUCAUGUAAGCAGUUGUUGAUAGUCAACUGAUAAGUGUUGUUAUGUACAAAAGUCAUGCUUAUGAGGUAUGAAAGUGAGUGAAAGAACAUUUGAGACAAUGCAUAUUUAACUCUGCAAGUAACAUGCUCCUAUGGAAUAAAAGACAAAUGAUUUUCUCUAAUUUUAUCACCUGUCCAACAAACAGCCCUUUGGAUGUUCAAAGAUUAUCGUCAUGAUCCACUUUACAGUUUAGUAGUAAUACUAUAGUAUAUGACAUUGUAUUAAAUAAAAAGAUGUAUGUAAUAUUGAUUGAUAUGAUUUUUAAAUUCAAUUAUCUGAACUGAAGUUAGAAAUUAAGCUCAUACACAAGGAUGGGAGAAAGCCUUCUGUGGUGGCAAUUGUCAAUGUCUUUCAGUGGUUUGGAAGAAAAUUGCUGAAGGAGACGUUGGCUCUCCCUCAGGGAUGUCCUUGACCCUGCACCUGCCGUGUCGUUUUUCCAGACAAGGAAGGCUAUUUUCUUCCAAAUGUGAAUUUAAUCCCUAUGUAAACCUUCUGAGGCUAGAAAUUCAGGCGCAUUAUAUAGGAUAAAUGAUAUUUUAGAAGAAUUUGUUGUUUGAAAAAGAUCAGUUUUCAGCCUGUUUAAUAUACCAAGAAUUUCCUAAACUUAAUUGCCCUGGAAAAUAUCCUUCAUACUGAAUACACCCUCCCAAACACAAAACAUGUUAAAACAAAACAAAACAAAACAGUGGCACUUGUGUUCUGUAGAAUUCAUUUUGGAAAUUGAAAUUUAGUGACUUUAUUUUGGAAAUUAAGGUUUAUACCAGAUAGCUUUUGAAAGCACCUUCAAUCCUAACAAUAAAAUUCCAGCAUAAUGUUAGCAAGAUCUUGUGUUCAAUAUUGUGUUAUAAUAUACUGUAGAUACACUUGCACUGUAACAAAAAAAUCAUUUACUAAUGUAAAUGCAGUUUUAAGGGGAAUUAAAAUUAGUUUUUGUUACAUGAUAUUGUAUGGAUG